CCUAAAUGAAUUGGAUGAGGGACUAGAAGGGGAACUCAUCAACUUUCUAGAUGACACUAAACUAGCAAGAAUAGCCAAUACCCCAGAAGACAAAUUCA
Non-coding RNA from Notechis scutatus (mainland tiger snake), 98 nucleotides. Lineage: Eukaryota; Metazoa; Chordata; Lepidosauria; Squamata; Elapidae. The record is from RefSeq and is a predicted model, not a curated record.